This is an RNA transcript of Phragmites australis (common reed), 3257 nucleotides long. It is a transcript of the gene named zinc finger CCCH domain-containing protein 28-like, with no coding region annotated. The record is from RefSeq and is a predicted model, not a curated record. The transcript is spliced from 13 exons. NCBI's taxonomy places the organism in Eukaryota, Viridiplantae, Streptophyta, Magnoliopsida, Poales, Poaceae.
ACUCUAUCCCGAUAGGGACGAAGACGACUACCCUGUUGGCCCCGGACAUAGAUCCCCGGCAGGACUCGGGAGGUUGGCCCGACGGUGGGCGGCGGCGUGCGGGUGGGGCGACGAGACGGGCGGGGUUGCCGCAGGCUACGGUGGUGGUUAAGAGCAGUGGGCGGAGUUGGAGCGGUGGACUCAGAGUGGUUAGUGGCGGUCGGGGUCGAGACAGUGACGGCAGGAGUCAGACGCCACGGCAAGCCGCCGAUAGUGGAAGAAGCAGCGAGCUAGAGGUGGAAGAAGAGGGCGCGGCGCUAGGAGCCUCGGAGGGGUCGCGGGGUCGCGCGAUAACUUGGUACAAAGAAAAUCUCGAGUGGCUUUUAACUCCACGUUUGAGCAACAAAACCAACCAAAUCCUCCCCUCGAAACGAAAUCAGCUCUUAAACCUAGAUCCCCGUCUUGUCAGGUACGUCUGCUCUCCAGAUCACCUCCUCCCCCCUCACGAUGGCCUCCGCCGAAAUGCCCAACCCCAGCCCCGACGCCACCAACCCCGCCCCCGCCCUCUCGUCGUCGCCGCCGCUCCCGCCGCGCAAACGCCGACUCUCCCCUUCCCCCUCUCCCUCCCCCACGCGCUCCGCGUCCCGCUCCCGCUCCCGCUCCCCGCGCGGCCGCCGCAGCCGCAGCCGCAGCCGGAGCAGGAACCGCAGCCGCAGCCGGAGCAGGAGCCGCAGCCGCAGCCGCAGCCCGCAGCACCCCCACGAGGGCAAGCGGCGGCGGCACACCGACCUUACUGUCGAGGUGUGCCGCGACUUCCUGCGCGACAGGUGCACCCGCUCCGACAUCGAGUGCAGAUACGCGCACCCGCACCACUCCGUCUCCGUCGACCUGGAAAACAAGGUGACGGCGUGCGCGGAUUCGCUGAGGAACAAUUGCUUCCGGGGGAGGACAUGCCGCUACUACCACCCGCCUCCCCAUAUCCAGGAAUCAUUGCUGAGAUCAAUUGGUGUGGAAGACCCAAAGGUGAAGAUGCAGGUUUGCAGAGAUUUUGCACGUGGAAGAUGUUCAAGAUCAGCAAACGAGUGCCGAUUCUUGCACCAUUCGUCUGUUGAAGAUUGUUCAAUUGUUUGCCAAGAUUUCUUGCGUGGACGGUGCGAACGCAAAUCAUGUAGGUACUCUCAUGUAGUAGCACAUCCAGUGCCACCAAUGGGCAAUGUUCCCAUUCAAUACCCUGAGAUGCUUUACAUGCCACCACCACCACCACCUCUUGGAGUACCAAUGAUGGGGCCUCCUCCUUCGCCUCCGAUAACUUUUGCUGAUAAUAAGAACACAGUGGAAGUCUGUAGGGACUUCUUGAAGAACAUGUGUACUAGAGAAUCCUGCCGAUUUGCACACCCUGAGACACAUACUUCGGUAAUGAAUGACAAGGUUGAAGUUUGCCGUGAUUUUAAACGAGGAGAAUGCAAUCGACCUGCCUGUCGCUUUUACCAUCCAUAUACAGGCUGAAGCUUCUGUUAGUUAAAAUGCAUGUACGUUGCAACGAAAAUACAAACAUUGGACGAGGUAAAAUUAAGCACAAACUCAGGUAUGAAGAUGUGGUCAUGUGGAUGUGCCAUGGGAGCAUCGCCGAACCUAGUUUGAUAUCAAAUGGUAGGUGAUUAUCCAUUAAUUUCUCUUCUAAUUUAUUUAUUUAUUUUUAUUAGUAAAACAGGUCUCAUCCGUAGCCAGUAACAAGGUGGAGAGACUGAAGGGCGAGGGUGUAUAGCAAAAGUGGAUAAAUUAUUUAAAUUUUAAGAGGUUUUAUUAGAUAGUAGGAGGGUAGAGGGAAGAGGUGACACCAGACACGAGAACCAACUCGUGUUUUAUAUAGUAGAGAAAUUUUUCAACCUUUGGUUUUGCUACCGGUGGCUGCUGGUCUAAUCAGGCACCACCAGAGGAUACUCGGAUAUUCUUGAUGCUAAAAUAGGACUGCAGUACCGACUACCAAGUUAAUUGGAACAAGAAGAUGUCUGAAGAGCCGAGUGAUAUGAUUUAUGCAAAACAAGCCAUUGUACUUUGGUCUGAGCGCAUGCUACUUCUCUGAGCUUCGCCUGGUGCUGUUGAACUUCUCUCGGCUGUUGUGACUGUAUUACUGUACUACUACUGAACUUGUGUUACCACUUAGCCGUGGUUACGAACAGCAGCAGUUGUUUUGGUAUACCGUUGUUUUUCUGACGACCUGUGAGCCUGUGAUUGCAUCUGUAGCUGUACAUAAAUGGUAAGUAGAAACUAUCUUCGCACGAAAAAAAAGCACGCAGGUCGUUCUCGCUGCUUUCGGGUAAAAAGUGACGAUAAAAAAAGUGUCAUUUAUUAUCUGCAGUGUCUCUCCUGUAUGGUUGUCUGGUACUUCUAAAGAACGCCGAAUGACAUCGGCAGCGAGCAGACCAUGCUAUAAACGUCAUCGCUUAAGCAGCGUGACGAUCAGAUGAACUCUGUAGCCUUCCAUUUUUUCAGAUUUAUCUUUCAAGUUUGAUAAGUUUACGUGACACCCUUUCCUUAUUAAGAUAUGUGCUCAGCCAUCGCCAAUCAUGAUUGUAAACUAAUGAGGUCUAACUCAUCGUCGAGAUUGUAUCUGGGCUCGAACCCGGCGCGCACCUCCUUAAUUCUGAACUGAACAUCAGAUCAACUGGCACGUCCUACGUUGAAAAGCCAGCGAGAGAGGUUUGAGCUCCUAAUAAGAUCGACCCGACCAUGGCUGUGCUGAGGCUCGACGUCCAACGGAACAUCGAGAUCCAUGGAUUUCAUCAUUGCACUAUUACAGAGGUUUGAGGAGGGCUCUGACCAGCAGGGCCUUGCGCAGCUCCUAGAAGCCGUGUACGAGGCCAGUCUAAAGCCAUAGCAUGGCCGGAUCUCUUCAGCCGCAUGCAAGGUCGGGAAUUACUGAAACGUUUGGGUGGCACUAAUCCUGUCGAAAACGAGAGACAAUUUCUCAGUUUCUGCUGACACGAUCCUGGUAACUUGGUGAGCAACACAGAUAGCAAUUCGUGAGAGGAAGAUCUUCAUCAGCUUGCUCGUAGGGAUGGACCAAGACCGAGCUGUCCUGAAGGAUGAGAUCGAAGAGCCCGCGUCGUUGCUUCUACCCCUCCCGGAUGGCAUCCGCUCGAUGAUGGCCAAGCUCAGACUGGAUAGGCUCAAGUCCACGUGACAGCGAACCGAAGUGAGCGUCCCGUACUGUGAAUAUUGCCUUGGGUUAACUUGGCUGUGCUGUAAAGGUUUCCGUUCGGAAGCGGUUCUUCUCU